CCGGCUCUGACGCCACUCAUGUUCGAAUUCAUCUAAAACUGCAUUCUGUUUGUUAAAUAAUGAACGAAUCUAAACGAAAACGAAAUAAUUAUCUAGUGGUCAUUACAAGGCAGUAAUUAAUUAGUGAUUAGGAUGUCGGAUUCUGAAAGUGUUGUACCAGCGAAGAAUGAAGCCAUAGAAUUGAUCGGGUUAGUUCGUGAAAGAAAAUGUUUGUGGGACAGGAGAUGUACAGAGUAUAGGAACAAGUACGACAGGCUGAAGGCUUGGGAGGAGAUCUGUGAGGUGCUAGACUCUAACUUCCACAGAGUAAACAACAAGCAUAAGAAUAAGUCGGUUCUACUGAUGUCAAAAAAAUGGACGAACAUACGAGACGCUUACGUUAAGUCACUGAGGAUGGGGAGGAACCGGGUGAAGCCGUACAUACACGCCGAGGCUUUGGAGUUUCUUGAUGCUGUGUUCGUUUACAAAACUAAGUCGUCCCAAAAAGUAGACAGUCGACUCUCAGACGAGGACAACGCAACUGAGGAUUCAAUAGAAUGGUUGAACGAAGUGUACGUUGACGAGAGCGCUGUAGAGGAUCCACCACCCAAGAAACCCAAACUAGAAUAUCCACAAGACGAGAACAGCAUAGCUCAUUUUCUCAUGAACUUGGUGCAGCGCGAAGAAAACGAGGAUAGAGCGUUCUUCACUUCCAUAACGUCUGCCGUCUCGAGUUUGUCUGAGAGGUCAAAGUUCGAGUUCAGAGUCCAGGUGUUGAAGUUGCUGAACAGUUUGAGAAUGAAGGAUUCCAGCAUGGGCGUGAAGAGGGAGAGAAAUAUAUUUGAUAGUGAAACUGAGUGAAUUCGACUUUGUCUUUUUUAGAGCAUUCUUAAACGAAGAAAAACAGUUGACACCACCACCACUACAGUGUCUUCUGCGAACUUAUCAUGAGAUCCGUUAAAGCGGUUAUUUUGGAUAUGUCGAAGAAAUUAGUAUUGUUGAAAGAUGAGCAACGGUAUCUAUAGCCUACAAUAAUCCCUUAUCGUACACUGAAUGGUCUGUGUCCAUCUAAAUGGA
This 1056-nucleotide unclassified non-coding RNA is filed under the name Bombyx mandarina (wild silkworm). RNAcentral describes it as "uncharacterized LOC114250629, transcript variant X2". Lineage: Eukaryota; Metazoa; Arthropoda; Insecta; Lepidoptera; Bombycidae. The record is from RNAcentral.